RNAcentral lists this long non-coding RNA (314 nucleotides) under Vitis vinifera (wine grape). RNAcentral's name for it is "long non-coding RNA (VVIN_LNC000213)". Lineage: Eukaryota; Viridiplantae; Streptophyta; Magnoliopsida; Vitales; Vitaceae. The record is from RNAcentral.
UAAAUGUUUAAGAAAUUCUAAAAAAUUCUUUAAAAAUGAAAUGACCUUUCUACCACAUUCCUUAUAAUAAAUAAUUGUUUUUUUUAUACAUAUUGUAAAGUAAAAAAAAAAGUCUUUGUUUAGUUAACCUAAGAAGACAUUCCUACUUUUCUUUGUGGUGAGAGUCACCUAAAUGGAAUAAAAUAUUCAAUAUCAUAGGAGAGUAAAAAGUAUUGUAGAAAUGAUUUUGUUGAGAGAGUUAUCUAAAUGGAAUGAGAUAUUGGUAGGUGAAUAAAAUAUUAUGGUGAUUGUAAUAGUUGACUUAGUGAGUGGAG